AGGAUUAUAAUUUAUAUAAAAUAUUUGAUUUGCAUUCAAAAAAAAUUGAAUAUUCAAUUUAUCUUA
Molecule: transfer RNA, 66 nt
Filed under: Apsilochorema nigrum
Lineage: Eukaryota; Metazoa; Arthropoda; Insecta; Trichoptera; Hydrobiosidae
Description: tRNA-Ala
Source: RNAcentral